AAACCAACAGGGAUUGCCUCAGUAACGGCGAGUGAAGCGGCAAAAGCUCAAAUUUGAAAUCUAGUACCUUCGGUGCUCGAGUUGUAAUUUGAAGGUAGUUUUCUGGUGCUGGCCCUUGUCUAUGUUCCUUGGAACAGGACGUCAUAGAGGGUGAGAAUCCCGUCUGAUGGGGUGUCCAGUGCUUUGUAGAUUUCUACCGAAGAGUCGAGUUGUUUGGGAAUGCAGCUCUAAGUGGGUGGUAAAUUCCAUCUAAAGCUAAAUACUGCGAGAGACCGAUAGCGAACAAGUACAGUGAUGGAAAGAUGAAAAGAACUUUGAAAAGAGAGUGAAAAAGUACGUGAAAUUGUUGAAAGGGAAGGGUAUUGGAUCAGACUUGGUGUCUUGUGAUUAUCUUCCCUUCUUGGGUUGUGCACUCGCAUUUCACUGGGCCAGCAUCGGUUCGGAUGGCAAGAUAAUGGCUUGGGAAUGUGGCACUCUUCGGAGUGUGUUAUAGCCCUUGUUGAUGUUGCCUAUCUGGACCGAGGACUGCGGCUUUUGCCUAGGAUGCUGGCGUAAUGAUUCAAUACCGC
Molecule: ribosomal RNA, 569 nt
Filed under: Petasospora fabianii
Lineage: Eukaryota; Fungi; Ascomycota; Saccharomycetes; Phaffomycetales; Wickerhamomycetaceae
Description: LSU rRNA
Rfam family: Eukaryotic large subunit ribosomal RNA
Source: RNAcentral